RNAcentral lists this ribosomal RNA (347 nucleotides) under uncultured bacterium. Its description in RNAcentral is "partial 16S ribosomal RNA". It matches the Rfam family "Bacterial small subunit ribosomal RNA", at positions 338 to 682 of the family's 1533-position model. The record is from RNAcentral.
CCUACGGGGUGCAGCAGUGAGGAAUAUUGGUCAAUGGGCUUACGCCUGAACCAGCCAAGUCGCGUGAGGGAAGAAUGCCCUAUGGGUUGUAAACCUCUUUUGUCAGGGAGCAAGUGGCGCUACGUGUAGCGUUAUCGAGAGUAACUGAAGAAAAAGCAGCGGCUAACUCCGUGCCAGCAGCCGAGGUAAUACGGAGGAUGCGAGGGUUAUCCGGAUUGAUUGGGUUUAAAGGGUGCGGAGGCGGAAUGCCAAGUCAGCGGUAAAAUCGCGGGGCUCAACCUCGCUCCGCCGUUGAAACUGGCGUUCUUGAGUGUGCGAGAGGUCUGCGGAAUGCGUUGUGUAGCGGU